This 301-nucleotide ribosomal RNA is filed under the name uncultured bacterium. RNAcentral describes it as "partial 16S ribosomal RNA". It matches the Rfam family "Bacterial small subunit ribosomal RNA", at positions 509 to 807 of the family's 1533-position model. The record is from RNAcentral.
CAGUCGCCACGGUAAUACGAAGGGGGCUAGCGUUGUUCGGAUUUACUGGGCGUAAAGCGCACGUAGGCGGAUCGAUCAGUCAGGGGUGAAAUCCCAGAGCUCAACUCUGGAACUGCCUUUGAUACUGUCGAUCUGGAGUAUGGAAGAGGUGAGUGGAAUUCCGAGUGUAGAGGUGAAAUUCGUAGAUAUUCGGAGGAACACCAGUGGCGAAGGCGGCCCACUGGUCCAUUACUGACGCUGAGGUGCGAAAGCGUGGGGAGCAAACAGGAUUAGAUACCCCCGUAGUCCCUGUCUCUUAUAC